RNAcentral lists this small RNA (1111 nucleotides) under Histoplasma capsulatum. RNAcentral's name for it is "hypothetical RNA". RNAcentral also lists the same sequence under 1 other name. Lineage: Eukaryota; Fungi; Ascomycota; Eurotiomycetes; Onygenales; Ajellomycetaceae. The record is from RNAcentral.
AUUCGCUGGCUUCCUCUCUUCAGGCGGCUGCACAAUGCUGAUCAGCGUCCCACCAUCCUUCACAGCCCCCCAAGCAUCCUUCAAUGUCUGAUUACCGAAACAAUCAAUCACCAAAUCUACCUUCCUGUUCUCAUCCGCAGCAGCCCAGGCAGUUAUGGACAUCGUUUUAUAAUCGACCACCUCAUUCGCUCCAAGGUCACGGACAAAUUGUUCGUUCUCAGAUCCGCAGGACACAGAGACAUGAAGGCCUGCAAUCCUGGCAAGCUGGACGACCCACAAUCCAACCCCUCCUGACGCAGCUGUGAUGAAGACCCUCUUCCCCUUAUUUUCAGGAUUUUCAGGCCCGCCUAGCCCGCCCUGAACGAACAAGGCUUGCCACGCCGUAAGUGCUGACAAGGGAAUCGUUGCUGACUCGGCCCAGCUUAGAUUGCUUGGUCUAAGGGCGAGUUCAGAGGUCACCGCAAUGGUGUAGUCACGAGCGCAGCCUGGCCGAACAUAGUUUGUACGAGCAUAAACUUGACUUCCAGCGGCAAAUGGGGAAGUCUCUGGUGCGGCAACAACGGUUCCAGCGAGAUCGUAACCAGGAAUUAUCUCCUGCUUGCCCUGUAUUGGAAACGAUUUGGGCCAGCUGAGCUCUCCAGCACAGAGAGCUGUUGCGUGGACGCGGAUAAGAUGCUCAUCAGAGUUUGGCUUGGGUUCGGGGAUAGGUCGGUUUAUCAGAGUUAGAGUAUCCUUCUCGAGAUCCUGCCAAAGAGAUCUAACAGCAGACUUAGAGGGUUGGUUCGCCAUGGUGCGUUGUUGAGUGAGGGGUAAUGUUGAGUAGGCUGCAGUGUUCUGUGUUGGAGUCAAGACGAAUUUAUUUUGCGUGUGAGACAACCGGCCUUUCGAAUAUGAUGAAGGCUGUAAGGGGUUAUGGAGUUGGUUGGUGGGCAGCUCAGGUUUGAGAGCUUUCACUGCAACCGUUAUCCGAUGAGCGAGUGAACACGCUCUAUUAUACAUAAAAUGAUGCUGCGAUAAAACAAACUCUUCUUUUGAAAGUGGGUGUUGGGAACAAAGAAAAUUAAACUGUAAAUUUUUCUGGGGCCACAAGGCCUGUUAAAUAGCCACCUGG